This 466-nucleotide ribosomal RNA is filed under the name Cryptosporidium parvum. RNAcentral describes it as "SSU rRNA". It matches the Rfam family "Eukaryotic small subunit ribosomal RNA", at positions 397 to 891 of the family's 1831-position model. Lineage: Eukaryota; Apicomplexa; Conoidasida; Eucoccidiorida; Cryptosporidiidae. The record is from RNAcentral.
UGAGAAACGGCUACCACAUCUAAGGAAGGCAGCAGGCGCGCAAAUUACCCAAUCCUAAUACAGGGAGGUAGUGACAAGAAAUAACAAUACAGGACUUUUUGGUUUUGUAAUUGGAAUGAGUUAAGUAUAAACCCCUUUACAAGUAUCAAUUGGAGGGCAAGUCUGGUGCCAGCAGCCGCGGUAAUUCCAGCUCCAAUAGCGUAUAUUAAAGUUGUUGCAGUUAAAAAGCUCGUAGUUGGAUUUCUGUUAAUAAUUUAUAUAAAAUAUUUUGAUGAAUAUUUAUAUAAUAUUAACAUAAUUCAUAUUACUAUAUAUUUUAGUAUAUGAAAUUUUACUUUGAGAAAAUUAGAGUGCUUAAAGCAGGCAUAUGCCUUGAAUACUCCAGCAUGGAAUAAUAUUAAAGAUUUUUAUCUUUCUUAUUGGUUCUAAGAUAAGAAUAAUGAUUAAUAGGGACAGUUGGGGGCAU